AGUAAAAAUUUUCAUCUAUUUCAACUUCUAAAAACUUACAUUGUUAACCAAAUAACAAGACAAUUACACCUGGAGUGCUAAGUAUAUCUCAUGUCAACAUCCAGGGACCCGUUUUUAAUAGUAGAAAUGGAUAAAAAUUUUAAUU
Molecule: non-coding RNA, 145 nt
Organism: Gossypium hirsutum (cotton)
Lineage: Eukaryota; Viridiplantae; Streptophyta; Magnoliopsida; Malvales; Malvaceae
Source: Rfam